CAUAUAUUGAAAUCUAUAUCAUGGGGGGAAAGAUUGGCAUGGGGGAAAAGUUACUAUAUGUAUACGUAUUGUCAACUUUCCGCAGGGGAAGAAUGACAAUGAUCCAAAAUCUCCCCGGGGGAAACAUUGGCUCAUGCCAGUCUUUCCCCCGGGGGAAAAACUGGCAUGGGGGAAGAAUGGCUAUAUAACACCGCCAUUGUU
Molecule: long non-coding RNA, 201 nt
Filed under: Mytilus galloprovincialis (Mediterranean mussel)
Lineage: Eukaryota; Metazoa; Mollusca; Bivalvia; Mytilida; Mytilidae
Source: RNAcentral